CGGGACGUGGUGACAUGGUAGACACGCUUGGUUUAGGCCCAAGUGCCGUAAAAAGCUUGGAAGUUCGAAUCUUCUCGUCCUGA
RNAcentral lists this transfer RNA (83 nucleotides) under Streptococcus pneumoniae. RNAcentral describes it as "tRNA-Leu". It matches the Rfam family "tRNA". From Rfam's summary of the family: Transfer RNA (tRNA) molecules are approximately 80 nucleotides in length. Their secondary structure includes four short double-helical elements and three loops (D, anti-codon, and T loops). The record is from RNAcentral. Lineage: Bacteria; Bacillati; Bacillota; Bacilli; Lactobacillales; Streptococcaceae.